CGUAAUCGGAAUGAGAACACUUUAAAUCCUUUAACGAGUAUCCAUUGGAGGGCAAGUCUGGUGCCAGCAGCCGCGGUAAUUCCAGCUCCAAUAGCGUAUAUUAAAGUUGUUGCGGUUAAAAAGCUCGUAGUUGGACUUGUGUCCCACGCUGUCGGUUCACCGCCCGUCGGUGUCUAACUGACAUGUAUCGUGGGACGUCCUGCCGGUGGUGGCGAGUCGAAAGAUCGCGCCCCUGCGGCAUACGCCACAGGUCGGUUGCGGUUCGUAGACGGACCCCGAUGAAAUCCUACCGCGGUGCUCUUAAACGAGUGUCGAGGUGGGCCGGCACGUUUACUUUGAACAAAUUAGAGUGCUUAAAGCAGGCCUGAUGCGCCUGAAUACUGUGUGCAUGGAAUAAUGGAAUAGGACCUCGGUUCUAUUUUGUUGGUUUUCGGAACCCGAGGUAAUGAUUAAUAGGGACAGUCGGGGGCAUUCGUAUUGCGACGUUAGAGGUGAAAUUCUUGGAUCGUCGCAAGACGGACCGAAGCGAAAGCAUUUGCCAAGUAUGUUUUCAUUAAUCAAGAACGAAAGUUAGAGGUUCGAAGGCGAUCAGAUACCGCCCUAGUUCUAACCAUAAACGAUGCCAGCUAGCGAUCCGCCGAAGUUCCUCCGAUGACUCGGCGGGCAGCUCCCGGGAAACCAAAGCUUUUGGGUUCCGGGGGAAGUAUGGUUGCAAAGCUGAAACUUAAAGGAAUUGACGGAAGGGCACCACCAGGAGUGGAGCCUGCGGCUUAAUUUGACUCAACACGGGAAACCUCACCAGGCCCGGACACU
This 813-nucleotide ribosomal RNA is filed under the name Cooloola sp. 1 AGV-2017. RNAcentral describes it as "SSU rRNA". It matches the Rfam family "Eukaryotic small subunit ribosomal RNA", at positions 504 to 1232 of the family's 1831-position model. Lineage: Eukaryota; Metazoa; Arthropoda; Insecta; Orthoptera; Cooloolidae. The record is from RNAcentral.